Molecule: ribosomal RNA, 253 nt
Filed under: uncultured bacterium
Lineage: Bacteria
Description: partial 16S ribosomal RNA
Rfam family: Bacterial small subunit ribosomal RNA
Source: RNAcentral
UACAGAGGUCCCGAGCGUUGUUCGGAUUUAUUGGGCGUAAAGGGUGCGUAGGUGGCAAAGUAAGUUGGGUGUGAAAUCCCGGGGCUUAACCUCGGAAUGGCAUUCAAUACUGCUUCGCUCGAGUACUGGAGAGGAGGCUGGAAUUUACGGUGUAGCAGUGAAAUGCGUAGAUAUCGUAAGGAAGGCCGGUGGCGAAAGCGAGCCUCUGGACAGUUACUGACGCUGAUGCACGAAGGCCAGGGGAGCAAACGGG